This 411-nucleotide ribosomal RNA is filed under the name uncultured Lachnospiraceae bacterium. RNAcentral describes it as "bacterial SSU rRNA". It matches the Rfam family "Bacterial small subunit ribosomal RNA", at positions 23 to 416 of the family's 1533-position model. Lineage: Bacteria; Bacillati; Bacillota; Clostridia; Lachnospirales; Lachnospiraceae. The record is from RNAcentral.
CUCAGGAUGAACGCUGGCGGCGUUGCUUACACAUGCAAGUCGAGCGAAGCACUUAAGCGGAUCUCUUCGGAUUGAAACUUAUUUGACUGAGCGGCGGACGGGUGAGUAACGCGUGGGUAACCUGCCUCAUACAGGGGGAUAACAGUUAGAAAUGGCUGCUAAUACCGCAUAAGCGCACAGGACCGCAUGGUCUGGUGUGAAAAACUCCGGUGGUAUGAGAUGGACCCGCGUCUGAUUAGCUAGUUGGAGGGGUAACGGCCCACCAAGGCGACGAUCAGUAGCCGGCCUGAGAGGGUGAACGGCCACAUUGGGACUGAGACACGGCCCAGACUCCUACGGGAGGCAGCAGUGGGGAAUAUUGCACAAUGGGGGAAACCCUGAUGCAGCGACGCCGCGUGAAGGAAGAAGUAU